Molecule: ribosomal RNA, 210 nt
Filed under: Klebsiella pneumoniae
Lineage: Bacteria; Pseudomonadati; Pseudomonadota; Gammaproteobacteria; Enterobacterales; Enterobacteriaceae
Description: partial 23S ribosomal RNA
Rfam family: Bacterial large subunit ribosomal RNA
Source: RNAcentral
UGCGCGGAAGAUGUAACGGGGCUAAACCAUGCACCGAAGCUGCGGCAGCGACACUAUGUGUUGUUGGGUAGGGGAGCGUUCUGUAAGCCUGCGAAGGUGUGCUGUGAGGCAUGCUGGAGGUAUCAGAAGUGCGAAUGCUGACAUAAGUAACGAUAAAGCGGGUGAAAAGCCCGCUCGCCGGAAGACCAAGGGUUCCUGUCCAACGUUAAU